RNAcentral lists this unclassified non-coding RNA (352 nucleotides) under Hevea brasiliensis (rubber tree). The record is from RNAcentral. Lineage: Eukaryota; Viridiplantae; Streptophyta; Magnoliopsida; Malpighiales; Euphorbiaceae.
GCGGUUGCUGCUUCUUCCCCGGGGAGGUUUAUCGGAUCUUGAUGGAGACCCAUAUCGGAUCCGUGGACGGGGCGGCGGCGGCGGCGGACAACGGCGCGGUGGGGUGCCCGGCGUCGGCGGUGGGGUGCCCGAUGACCUCGGCGCGCCCCGCGCCCGUGUCGGCCGGCGAGGCGUCGCUGGGACGGCACCUGGCGAGGCGGCUGGUGCAGGUGGGCGUCAGCGACGUGUUCGCCGUGCCCGGGGACUUCAACCUCACGCUGCUCGACCACCUGAUCGCCGAGCCCGGGCUGCGCCUCGUCGGCUGCUGUAACGAGCUCAACGCCGGGUACGCGGCCGACGGCUACGCCCGCGC